Molecule: ribosomal RNA, 616 nt
Filed under: Nannizziopsis guarroi
Lineage: Eukaryota; Fungi; Ascomycota; Eurotiomycetes; Onygenales; Nannizziopsiaceae
Description: eukaryotic LSU rRNA
Rfam family: Eukaryotic large subunit ribosomal RNA
Source: RNAcentral
GCAUAUCAAUAAGCGGAGGAAAAGAAACCAACUGGGAUUGCCUCAGUAACGGCGAGUGAAGCGGCAGAAGCUCAAAUUUGAAAUCUGGCCCCUCUGGGGGUCCGAGUUGUAAUUUGCAGAGGACACUUCGGGUGCGGCCGCGGUCUAAGUCCCCUGGAACGGGGCGUCGGAGAGGGUGAGAAUCCCGUCUGGGACCGUGGACCUGCCCCGUGUGAAGUUCCUUCGACGAGUCGAGUUGUUUGGGAAUGCAGCUCUAAGUGGGUGGUAAAUUUCAUCUAAAGCUAAAUACUGGCGGGAGACCGAUAGCGCACAAGUAGAGUGAUCGAAAGGUUAAAAGCACCUUGAAAAGGGAGUUAAACAGCACGUGAAAUUGUUGAAAGGGAAGCGCUGGCAGCCAGACAGGAACCCGGGGGCUCAGCGGGCAUGCGUGCCCGUGCACUCCCCCGCGGUUCCGGCCAGCAUCAGUUUCGGCGGCCGGUCAAAGGCCCCGGGAAGGUAUCGUCCUCCGGGACGACUUACAGCCCGGGGUGCAAUGCGGCCAGUCGGGACUGAGGAACGCGCUCCGGCACGGAUGCUGGCGUAAUGGCUGUCAGCGGCCCGUCUUGAAACACGGACC